This 1057-nucleotide ribosomal RNA is filed under the name Salmonella enterica subsp. enterica serovar Agona. RNAcentral describes it as "partial 23S ribosomal RNA". It matches the Rfam family "Bacterial large subunit ribosomal RNA", at positions 1175 to 2215 of the family's 2925-position model. Lineage: Bacteria; Pseudomonadati; Pseudomonadota; Gammaproteobacteria; Enterobacterales; Enterobacteriaceae. The record is from RNAcentral.
ACGGGGCUAAACCAUGCACCGAAGCUGCGGCAGCGACACUGUGUGUUGUUGGGUAGGGGAGCGUUCUGUAAGCCUGUGAAGGUGGCCUGUGAGGGUUGCUGGAGGUAUCAGAAGUGCGAAUGCUGACAUAAGUAACGAUAAAGCGGGUGAAAAGCCCGCUCGCCGGAAGACCAAGGGUUCCUGUCCAACGUUAAUCGGGGCAGGGUGAGUCGACCCCUAAGGCGAGGCCGAAAGGCGUAGUCGAUGGGAAACGGGUUAAUAUUCCCGUACUUGGUGUUACUGCGAAGGGGGGACGGAGAAGGCUAUGUUGGCCGGGCGACGGUUGUCCCGGUUUAAGCGUGUAGGUGUGUGUUCCAGGUAAAUCCGGUUCACUUUAACACUGAGGCGUGAUGACGAGGCACUACGGUGCUGAAGCAACAAAUGCCCUGCUUCCAGGAAAAGCCUCUAAGCAUCAGGUAACAUCAAAUCGUACCCCAAACCGACACAGGUGGUCAGGUAGAGAAUACCAAGGCGCUUGAGAGAACUCGGGUGAAGGAACUAGGCAAAAUGGUGCCGUAACUUCGGGAGAAGGCACGCUGACACGUAGGUGAAGUGAUUUACUCAUGGAGCUGAAGUCAGUCGAAGAUACCAGCUGGCUGCAACUGUUUAUUAAAAACACAGCACUGUGCAAACACGAAAGUGGACGUAUACGGUGUGACGCCUGCCCGGUGCCGGAAGGUUAAUUGAUGGGGUCAGCGCAAGCGAAGCUCCUGAUCGAAGCCCCGGUAAACGGCGGCCGUAACUAUAACGGUCCUAAGGUAGCGAAAUUCCUUGUCGGGUAAGUUCCGACCUGCACGAAUGGCGUAAUGAUGGCCAGGCUGUCUCCACCCGAGACUCAGUGAAAUUGAACUCGCUGUGAAGAUGCAGUGUACCCGCGGCAAGACGGAAAGACCCCGUGAACCUUUACUAUAGCUUGACACUGAACAUUGAGCCUUGAUGUGUAGGAUAGGUGGGAGGCUUUGAAGUGUGGACGCCAGUCUGCAUGGAGCCGACCUUGAAAUACCACCCUUUAAUGUUU